GGUGUCAGCAGCCGCGGUAAAACGUAGGAGGCGAGCGUUAUCCGGAUUUACUGGGUGUAAAGCGCGUGCAGGCGGUUGACUAAGUUGGAUGUGAAAGCUCCUGGCUCAACUGGGAGAGGUCGUUCAAGACUGGUCGACUGGAGAGCAGUAAGGGAAGGUGGAAUUCCGGGUGUAGUGGUGAAAUGCGUAGAUAUCCGGAGGAACACCAGUGGCGAAAGCGGCCUUCUGGACUGCAUCUGACGCUCAGACGCGAAAGCUAGGGGAGCAAACGGGAUUAGAGACCCCGGUAGUCCUAGCUGUAAACGAUGUGAACUUGGCGCUGGUUGGGUAAAACCGAUCAGUGCCGGAGCAAACGCGAUAAGUUCACCACCUGAGGACUACGGCCGCAAGGUUAAAACUCAAAGGAAUUGGCGGGGGAC
Molecule: ribosomal RNA, 419 nt
Filed under: uncultured bacterium
Lineage: Bacteria
Description: bacterial SSU rRNA
Rfam family: Bacterial small subunit ribosomal RNA
Source: RNAcentral